This 545-nucleotide ribosomal RNA is filed under the name uncultured beta proteobacterium. RNAcentral describes it as "bacterial SSU rRNA". It matches the Rfam family "Bacterial small subunit ribosomal RNA", at positions 340 to 877 of the family's 1533-position model. The record is from RNAcentral. Lineage: Bacteria; Pseudomonadati; Pseudomonadota; Betaproteobacteria.
UACGGGAGGCAGCAGUGGGGAAUUUUGGACAAUGGGGGCAACCCUGAUCCAGCCAUUCCGCGUGAGUGAAGAAGGCCUUCGGGUUGUAAAGCUCUUUCGGCAGGAACGAAACGGUGGAGGCUAAUACCUNUNAUCAAUGACGGUACCUGAAGAAGAAGCACCGGCUAACUACGUGCCAGCAGCCGCGGUAAUACGUAGGGUGCGAGCGUUAAUCGGAAUUACUGGGCGUAAAGCGUGCGCAGGCGGUUUUGUAAGACAGAUGUGAAAUCCCCGGGCUUAACCUGGGAACUGCGCUUGUGACUGCAAGGCUUGAGUGUGGCAGAGGGGGGUGGAAUUCCACGUGUAGCAGUGAAAUGCGUAGAGAUGUGGAGGAACACCGAUGGCGAAGGCAGCCCCCUGGGUCAACACUGACGCUCAUGCACGAAAGCGUGGGUAGCAAACAGGAUUAGAUACCCUGGUAGUCCACGCCCUAAACGAUGCCAACUAGGUGUUGGGGAAGGAGACUUCCUUAGUACCGUAGCUAACGCGUGAAGUGGCCGCCUGGA